CCGAAGUUCAUCCCAAUUUCCAUUAACGCCUCCUACAGAAUGAGCAUACCACUUUUUUGUUCUUCCCAAAAGGGAGAACAGAAAUAAUUUCCAUUUAAGGGUUUCUUGUGUCAUGCCGGAAAUAGAUCGGCAAGAGCACAACUGCUCGAAUUCUCUAAGGUGGGUGUAUGGAUCUUCAUCUACUUGCCCAGAGAAGGGUUGCUCCUAAAUCAUGGCUAUUAGAUCAAGGCCGAGGUCGUAGCCAUCUUUAAGAAUUGGAUGUGAUGAUGGUGGUGGCUCUAAUAACUCGCCCUUUGGAGCAAAGAAUUUAUAGAUAGGAGUGAAAUUCAUGUGGUGUGGUAAAAUGGUAAGGUGAGUGUGGUAAAAAAAGGAAAAGAAAAAGGAUACACGGACGAC
This 396-nucleotide long non-coding RNA is filed under the name Sorghum bicolor (sorghum). RNAcentral's name for it is "long non-coding RNA (SBIC_LNC013931)". The record is from RNAcentral. Lineage: Eukaryota; Viridiplantae; Streptophyta; Magnoliopsida; Poales; Poaceae.